RNAcentral lists this ribosomal RNA (514 nucleotides) under uncultured bacterium. RNAcentral's name for it is "bacterial SSU rRNA". It matches the Rfam family "Bacterial small subunit ribosomal RNA", at positions 15 to 518 of the family's 1533-position model. The record is from RNAcentral.
GAUUAUGGCUCAGAACGAACGCUGGCGGCGCGUCUUAAGCAUGCAAGUCGAACGGCAAGAGGUAGCAAUACCUCCUAGAGUGGCGGACUGGUGAGUAACACGUGGGUGACAUACCCUUCAGAUGGGGAUAGCUAUUAGAAAUAGUAGAUAAUACCGAAUACGAGCACAGGGGUUAGAGAUCUGUGAGGAAAGGAGCUAAGGCUCCGCUGAAGGAAUGGCCUGCGGCCCAUUAGCUAGUUGGUGAGGUAAGAGCCCACCAAGGCGAUGAUGGGUAUCCGGCCUUAGAGGGUGAACGGACACAUUGGGACUGAGAUACGGCCCAGACUCCUACGGGAGGCAGCAGCUAAGAAUAUUCCGCAAUGGACGAAAGCCUGACGGAGCGACGCCGCGUGGAUGAAGAAGGCCGGAAGGUUGUAAAAUCCUUUUGAAACUGAAGAAUAAGCGUUGUAGGGAAUGACAGCGUGGUGACAGUAGGUUUUGAAUAAGCAACGGCUAAUUACGUGCCAGCCGCCGC